This 373-nucleotide ribosomal RNA is filed under the name uncultured organism. RNAcentral's name for it is "bacterial SSU rRNA". It matches the Rfam family "Bacterial small subunit ribosomal RNA", at positions 526 to 896 of the family's 1533-position model. The record is from RNAcentral.
CGUAGGGGGCGAGCGUUGUCCGAAGUUACUGGGCGUAAAGCGCGCGUAGGCGGUCCUUUAAGUUGAUUGUGAAAUCUUCACGGCUCAACCGGAAAACUGCGGUCAAAACUGGAGGACUUGAGAUUGGGAGAGGGAAGUGGAAUUCCUGGUGUAGCGGUGAAAUGCGUAGAUAUCAGGAGGAACACCAAUGGCGAAGGCAGCUUCCUGGUCCAAUUCUGACGCUGAGGUGCGAAAGCGUGGGUAGCGAACGGGAUUAGAUACCCCGGUAGUCCACGCCGUAAAUGAUGGAUACUAGGUGUAAGAGGUAUCGACCCCUCUUGUGCCGCAGCUAACGCAUUAAGUAUCCCGCCUGGGGAGUACGGCCGCAAGGUUG